AUAAAUAUGUAUGUAAUAAGUAGGUAUUUACUUUUACUGAUCCAGAUAUCCAAUAUCUAAGAAUUUUAUGUUCAUUGAAAUGUUUUUCACAUACAUGGGUAUUAUUCGUAAUAUCAAAAUCUUGUUACAAAAUAUCUCUACUCCAUUUUAUUUUUUAGGUAUAAAUAUACUACAUACUUUUGAUUUUCAAAUGGCACUAAUAUUAAAAAUUCCAUACAUAGAUGCAGUAUUAGCUAAAAUAGUUUAUUUAGCAAUAAUGUACUAAAUUCAGUGACAAGAUAUACCACCUUUAAUCUACCUAGUAUCUACAGUUUUUAAUAAUAUUUCAAAUAUUAUAUUAUUAAAAAGUGUUAACUGGUAAGCUAUCAAUUUUAAUUGGCUAUGUUAUUUCUUAUUUAAAUUAAAUAAUGGAUAAAUAUUGCUCAUUUGAAACUUUAUUGGGUAAAAGUACCAGCAAGUGUAAAACAUAUCAUCUGUCAUCGUGAAUAUGAAAUAAAGGUAGGAGACAAGCAAUUUAAAUAGUCACUUAAAAGUUUGAGACCCAAAAAUAUAUUUGAAGAUCCUAUACAUGAAAAAAACACUAAAUGAAAAAGGGGAAGUAUGUAAUAUAAAAUGUUUAAUCAUGUUGACACUUUAAUUACCUAACUUAUUGCAUAUUAAUAUAUUAAUAGAACAACACUCCAAAAUUUGUUUUCUUUAUCAGAAGAAUGAAGUUGAUGAAAUUGCACACAUUAAUAGUGCUAACAUGUUGAAUGAUAACAAAAAAUGAAGCAGUAUUGAUGGAGAUAUUCUCAUGGAAAACAAUUAUGACUAAUUUAUGUAUAGUCAGAGUGGCCAGAGUCAAACUUCCAAGGAAGGUUUUACGACUCAAUCUUCAAAAAACAAAUUAGAUUAAUGGUUUUAAAAUUAAUACAAAGUAAAGACAAUAAGAUUAAGACUUUUAGUUCAUUAACAGAAUUGGGGUUGAUUUUCAAAAUCUAAAAAGGAUUUUGAUUUUUGAUUUUAAAAAAUCUUUAAUUAUUAUUGUUCUAAAAAAAAAAAGAAUGAUUCAAUAAUUAAUUUCAAGAAAACACAUGAUUACACUAAUUUCAAUUAUCGAGAGUAACAAUUUUGAAACUGAUAGACUAUAAAUAAAAAAAUCAAUUCCAAAAUUGUUCCCAUCGAUAAAUUAGUGUAAUCACAUUUGCCACCCGUUUUUGGUUGAUGUAGCAUACUUAUUAUAAAUAAGGC
Molecule: non-coding RNA, 1230 nt
Organism: Cinara cedri
Lineage: Eukaryota; Metazoa; Arthropoda; Insecta; Hemiptera; Aphididae
Source: the annotation of a GenBank genome assembly